UACGGGGGGGGCAAGCGUUGUUCGGAAUUACUGGGCGUAAAGCGCGCGUAGGCGGACCUGCAAGUCGGGGGUGAAAGCCCGAGGCUCAACCUGGGAAUGGCAUCCGAUACGGCGGGACUGGAGUGUGGGAGAGGUUGGUGGAAUUCCCAGUGUAGAGGUGAAAUUCGUAGAUAUUGGGAAGAACACCGGUGGCGAAGGCGGCCAACUGGACCACAACUGACGCUGAGGCGCGAAAGCGUGGGGAGCAAACAGG
RNAcentral lists this ribosomal RNA (253 nucleotides) under uncultured bacterium. Its description in RNAcentral is "partial 16S ribosomal RNA". It matches the Rfam family "Bacterial small subunit ribosomal RNA", at positions 524 to 776 of the family's 1533-position model. The record is from RNAcentral.